GGAAUAUUGGACAAUGGGGGCAACCCUGAUCCAGCCAUGCCGCGUGUGUGAAGAAGGCCUUCGGGUUGUAAAGCACUUUCAGCGAGGAGGAAAGCCUGAUGGCUAAUACCCAUCGGGGGUGACGUUACUCGCAGCAGAAGCACCGGCUAACUCCGUGCCCGCAGCCGCGGUAAUACGGAGGGUGCAAGCGUUAAUCGGAAUUACUGGGCGUAAAGCGCAGGUAGGCGGCUGUUUAAGCUAGCUGUGAAAGCCCCGGGCUUAACCUGGGAACUGCAGUUAGAACUGGGCAGCUAGAGUACAGUAGAGGAGUGUGGAAUUUCCUGUGUAGCGGUGAAAUGCGUAGAUAUAGGAAGGAACAUCAGUGGCGAAGGCGACACUCUGGACUGAUACUGACGCUGAGGUGCGAAAGCGUGGGGAGCA
RNAcentral lists this ribosomal RNA (420 nucleotides) under uncultured bacterium. Its description in RNAcentral is "bacterial SSU rRNA". It matches the Rfam family "Bacterial small subunit ribosomal RNA", at positions 358 to 770 of the family's 1533-position model. The record is from RNAcentral.